GAAAUGCGAUAAGUAAUGUGAAUUGCAGAAUUCAGUGAAUCAUCGAAUCUUUGAACGCACAUUGCGCCCGCCGGUAUUCCGGCGGGCAUGCCUGUUCGAGCGUCAUUUCAACCAUCAAGCCCCCGGGCUUGCGUUGGGGACCUGCGGCUGCGCGCAGGCCCCGAAAACCAGUGGCGGGCUCGCCGACACACCGAGCGUAGUAGUUUACACCUCGCUUAGGUCGUCGCGGCGGGCGCUGGCCGUUAAACCCCCCCAUCUCACCAAAGGUUGACCUCGGAUCAGGUAGGAAUACCCGCUGAACUUAA
Molecule: unclassified non-coding RNA, 305 nt
Filed under: uncultured Humicola
Lineage: Eukaryota; Fungi; Ascomycota
Description: sequence contains ITS1
Rfam family: 5.8S ribosomal RNA (bases 1-105)
Source: RNAcentral